CGGCAACAGCUCAAAUUUGAAAUCUGGCCUUUGGCCCGAGUUGUAAUUUGUAGAGGAUGCUUUUGGUGCGGUGCCCUCCGAGUUCCCUGGAACGGGACGCCAUAGAGGGUGAGAGCCCCGUCUGGCAGGACACCCAGCCCGUGUGAAGCUCCCUCGAC
RNAcentral lists this ribosomal RNA (158 nucleotides) under Nectriaceae sp. RNAcentral's name for it is "partial large subunit ribosomal RNA". It matches the Rfam family "Eukaryotic large subunit ribosomal RNA", at positions 99 to 261 of the family's 3401-position model. Lineage: Eukaryota; Fungi; Ascomycota; Sordariomycetes; Hypocreales; Nectriaceae. The record is from RNAcentral.